CCCGCGCCGGGGGGCUGCAGGUAGGGCGGGCGGGCGGUACUGCCCCCUGCCUCGCGUCACAGCGCUGCUGCAACUCCCGCCGCCUUACGUCACAGAGCUGCUCCCCCCAACGUUCGGGUGCCACCCGGAGCCCCCCAGAUGGCGGAGGGCGUGCGCGGCGGGGAGGGUGUCUAGCCCUCCUGUGGUCGCGGGCCAAUGCCCUGGAAUGACCUGAGCCCUAGGGCUGCUGCGGGGGUGUCUAGAGUGGCAGAGGCAGCUUGUGGGUGUAGCCCCAUGGCAUAGGAAAGAGGAAUGGGACAGGGAGCGGAAAGCAGAGCAGCAGGCCAGUCAGGGAGGGAGGGAAGGGGUAAGGUAGCAGGCCAGACAGGGAGCCCUAGGGCUGGAGCAGAAAGCAGGGGUGGGAGCGGAAGGAAGAGCAGGAAAGUACAGGGCAGGGAAGCCAAAAGUAGAGCAGAACAUCAGGCAGGGAUGUAGGGGCUGGGAGCACAAAGCAGAGCAGCAGAUUUCGGCAGGAAAUGUAGAUCUGAGAGUAAAAAGCAAGCAGCAGAUGAGGCAAGAAGUGCAGGUCUGGGAGCCAGAAGAGGCAGGGAGCACAGGGUGGGGAGCAGAAAGCAGAGCAGCGGAUCCGGUACAGAUCACAGGCCUGGGAGCCAGAAGCAGCGCAGCAGAUCAGUUAGAAGAAAGGGACAGGAGCAGCACGCAGGAAAGGUGCAGAGCUAAUCUGUGGCAUGCCCUGUUGACCCCCACUGUCUCUUCAUAGUGCCUGACAGGACAGCUUACUCCUUUCUGAAUCAAGGUGCUACCCUGCCCUAUCUUCCUGGCUUCAGGCUAACACAGCUACCUGCCUCUUUCUGUGCCAGCUAUCACAAGAGUUGGCACCACUGCAGCAGGCGUGCACAGAUGCAGCAGGCAGAGUUGAGAGAGCGACUUGUUGGUGCCCCAGCUCCUCUUCCAUGUCCCUUGGAGUAAAAUGGGGUUGAAUCUAUGAGAUGCUUCAAUAUUGUGACUUCAGUGGACUCCACUCCUUCAGUCUGGGACUGGAGGCCCUUGCUGAGCUCCAGGUGCUGUGGCAAGAUUGGCACUAAUAUCUGAAUGAGUUAAUUUAGUGCUAGUUCAGUUAUCCCUACACUAGGCUGCAGUCAUUUCUGUUAUUUGAUCCAUGCCCACAGAGGAGGAGGGUAAAAUGGGACUGUUUCCAAAUGUAUAUGUGCUAUAAAGUUGUGUUAUGGAUUAGAAAGCUGUAUGUAAGUGUGUUGCAGAACUCACAGUGGCAAGUGCUACUAGGUGAGCUUUCUAUUCUAGCUACAGAUUUAAUCUGAUUACAGUUUAGCCCCAAAAUAUUUUAAAAAAUGAAAAUACGUCAUGCUUGGUUUCCUAUUUGGAGGUGAAUUUGCUUACACUCAAUUGGAGCUGUGACAUUUUCGGAGUUUUGUCGAAGGAGUCAUUCCCCGUGUGUGCAGGGGCCUUUUCCAGCUACGGUUAGUGUACUGCACCAACCUAACAACUUGAGCAUAGUACCACUUGCUGCUGAAAAAGUGGAAUGUCUCUGUGCCAUGCCAUUCCAUAGUGCUAGGGAUGUGAGCUGAGUAUGCAGUGCUCCAGCAAUUUUUAGCUGCUGCAACAACUUGAGUGAAUUGAGGGGGGCAAUACACAGUGCCAAGCUGGGUAGCACAAAGCUAGCUUUCCAUUCAUGCACUAAGCAAAGUUUGGCUGGUCUGGAGAACUGGACCCUCUGCCUAUAAAAAUAAAAAUACCUCCUAAUAUUUGGAAGCCCAAAACAACACUGCUUAAAGUAAAGAUAGAUUUUCCUUAGCUCAAUAAUGACCCUAACUAUUAAAGAACAAAAAGUUAUCUUUCUUCCCGAAAUGGACUUUUGCACCAAAAAAUUAAAAAAGCCUUUAUUAAAUCCUUUUCUUUGUUGGUCCUUUUCAGAUAUUUAACAAUUUUCACAUCAGGCUUUGCAAUUAUGUAUUUUGCCUUAGUGCACUUAUGCAUUAUGCAUCUUUAAUCUAGCUAUUGUAUUAGUAAAAUUGUACUUUCAUUCUAAGACCCUAUUUAAGUGGCUUAUAGUUUUAUAAAGGUAUGUUUGGUGGAUGUUUUUAAGUUCAGAGGUAAAGUGUGUGUGUGUGUGUGAGAGAGAGCUUAAAGAAAAUCUAAAAAAUUAUCUAGUGCUUUUGACGACAGGAUUGUCAAAUAGAUACAAAUAGAUACAAAUGCAUUUAACAUAAUCAUAAUGUCAAGCUUUAACAUGGAUUCCAUAAAACAUUUCUAAUUA
Molecule: long non-coding RNA, 2275 nt
Organism: Alligator mississippiensis (American alligator)
Lineage: Eukaryota; Metazoa; Chordata; Crocodylia; Alligatoridae
Exons: 2
Source: RefSeq, a predicted model, not a curated record